RNAcentral lists this ribosomal RNA (622 nucleotides) under uncultured archaeon. Its description in RNAcentral is "bacterial SSU rRNA". It matches the Rfam family "Archaeal small subunit ribosomal RNA", at positions 319 to 933 of the family's 1478-position model. The record is from RNAcentral.
GACAUGCUGUUUCUUCCUCCAAAAGAAAUGCGUCCGGUUCCUUUGGCCGCGGUGAUUCUGGUGUCGCUGAGGCGCGAACCUCUACACUGCACGCCAAGUGCGAUAAGGGGACCCCGAGUGCGAGGGCAUAUCGUCCUCGCUUUUCUCACCGUAAGGAGGUUGAGGAACAAGAGCUGGGCAAGACCGGUGCCAGCCGCCGCGGUUAUCCGGCAGCUCGAGUGAUGACGAUUUUAUUGGGCCUAAAGCGCCGUAGCUGGCCGUGAAAGUCAUCGGGAAAUCACCCGCUUUACGGGUGGGCGUCGGUGGAAACUCAUGGCUUGGGACAGGAAGGCUCGAGGGGACGUCCGGGGUAGGAGGUAAAAUCCUGUAUCCUGGACGGACCGCCGAAUGGGGAAAGCACCCUCAGAAGACUAAUCCACAGUGAGGGACGAAAGCUGGGGUCCGAACCGGACUGAUACCCGGGUAGUCCCAGCCGUAACAUGGUCGCUAGGGUGGGCACUCCUACAAAAGUGAUGUCGGAAGGAAACCCUACCAACCGCCUGGAAGACUCCAAGGAUAAACUUAAAGAAUGGCGGGGAGCCUAACCCGAAGACCGCGUUAUUGACUACCGGAACUACACCCA